Camelina sativa (false flax) is the source of this 769-nucleotide long non-coding RNA. RefSeq lists it as uncharacterized. Lineage: Eukaryota; Viridiplantae; Streptophyta; Magnoliopsida; Brassicales; Brassicaceae. The record is from RefSeq and is a predicted model, not a curated record.
CAUAAGACAUGAAUAAAGAACCAAAGAGUUCUCAAAGUUUGGUACCCUCGGCUGGUAAAAACCAUAAGACAUGAAGUAAGAACCAAAAGGUUCUCAAAGUUUGGCACGCUCGGCUGGUAAAAACCAUAAGACAUGAAAUAAGAACCAAAAGGUUCUCAAAGUUUGGCAUCCUCGGCUGGUAAACCAUAAGACAAAGGAGUCAAAAGACAUUGGAAGGGUAGUGCAUGCAUGUAAGGAAAUGAGUUGCGAUAUGUUGGAUGAGCGGACUAAAGAAAAUCUUAAGACAAGAUUGUGACUUGUUUGAUUGACCAGAACUUGGAACAACGUACGGCUUAAAGAAGUUUAGCCCACGAGGUAAGUAUAUACAUUCACCUAAAAUGAAGACUAACAAAUUCUUUUUUCUUUUCCUUUCAGGUAUGUGCUUUAACACAAGAUUGUGACUUGUUUGAUGGUAAAAUUGACCAGAACUUGGACCAAUGUAUGUGCUCUUCAAGUUAAGGUGUUCAGAUUGUCAAGACUUUUGAUAGGUAUAUGCUUUCAAACCUUUUUAUUUUUGUUUUAAGUGCAUUCCAAACUUGUUUGUAAUUAGUAUAUGAAAAUCACAAGUGAGAGAUGCAUACAACAUCCUGUACUCCAAAGUGGUAGUUUCUGGUGCUUUUAUCAACCCUUUAAUGAGCUUUAAUGAUGACACAGUUGGGAACAGAUUCCAAUUUGAGAGACUUGGUAUUGUUUUUCAGUUUGAGAAUCAUAAAAAUUGCUUGCUUUUCUA